UUCCGGUUGAUCCUGCGGACCUCACUGCUAUCGGGGUGGGACUAAUACAUGCAAGUCGUACGCCUCCCAGCCGCCGGGGGAGGCGUGGCGCACGGCUCCGUAACACGUGGCUAACCUACCCUUGGGACGGGGAUAACCCCGGGAAACUGGGGCUAAUCCCCGAUAGGAGAGAGCACCUGGAAUGGGCUCUCUCCGAAAGGGGUACAACGCCAUGCCCGUUGUACCCGCCCGAGGAUGGGGCUGCGGCCUAUCACGUAGUUGGCGGGGUAACGGCCCGCCAAGCCGAUAACGGGUAGGGGCCCGUGGGAGCGGGAGCCCCGAGAUGGGCACUGAGACAAGGGCCCAGGUCCUACGGGGUGCAGCAGGCGCGAAACCUCCGCAAUGCGGGAAACCCGUGACGGGGUCACCCCGAGUGCCACCCGAAGAGGGUGGCUUUUCCCCGGUCUAAAAAGCCGGGGGUAAUAAGCGGGGGGCAAGUCUGGUGUCCAGCCGCCGCGGUAAUACCAGCCCCGCGAGUGGUCGGGACGUUUAUUGGGCCUAAAGCGUCCGUAGCCGGCCCGGUAAGUCCCUCCUUAAAUCCACGGGCUCAACCCGUGGGCUGGGAGGGAUACUGCCGGGCUAGGGGGCGGGAGAGGCCGAGGGUACUCCCGGGGUAGGGGCGAAAUCCGUUAAUCCCGGGAGGACCACCAGUGGCGAAGAUCGCUCGGCUGGAACGCGCCCGACGGUGAGGGACGAAAGCUGGGGGAGCAAAGGGGAUUAGAUACCCCCGUAGUCCCAGCCGUAAUCGAUGCGGUUAUAGGUGUUUGGUGGGCCUAGAGCCCACCCAGUGCCGCAGGGAAGCCGUUAAGCCCGCCGCCUGGGGAGUACGGCCGCAAGGCUGAAACUUAAAGGAAUUGGCGGGGGAGCACCACAAGGGGUGAAGCUUGCGGUUUAAUUGGAUCAACGCCGGAAAU
RNAcentral lists this ribosomal RNA (953 nucleotides) under uncultured archaeon. RNAcentral describes it as "bacterial SSU rRNA". It matches the Rfam family "Archaeal small subunit ribosomal RNA", at positions 1 to 925 of the family's 1478-position model. The record is from RNAcentral.